AUCUUUUUGUAGUUCGUAAGUGUGAUGAUUGGGUUUUCAUGUGCAUAUGUGAGAUGUCCCUCCUACAAAUCUGGUUAUGAUGUCGGCACAUUACCCAUCUGACA
Molecule: small nucleolar RNA, 104 nt
Organism: Otolemur garnettii (small-eared galago)
Lineage: Eukaryota; Metazoa; Chordata; Mammalia; Primates; Galagidae
Source: Ensembl